ACGAACGCUGGCGGCAUGCCUCAUACAUGCAAGUCGAACGAGAUCUUCGGAUCUAGUGGCGCACGGGUGCGUAACGCGUGGGAAUCUGCCCUUGGGUUCGGAAUAACUUCUGGAAACGGAAGCUAAUACCGGAUGAUGACGUAAGUCCAAAGAUUUAUCGCCCAAGGAUGAGCCCGCGUAGGAUUAGCUAGUUGGUGGGGUAAAGGCCCACCAAGGCGACGAUCCUUAGCUGGUCUGAGAGGAUGAUCAGCCACACUGGGACUGAGACACGGCCCAGACUCCUACGGGAGGCAGCAGUAGGGAAUAUUGGACAAUGGGGGAAACCCUGAUCCAGCAAUGCCGCGUGAGUGAUGAAGGCCUUAGGGUUGUAAAGCUCUUUUACCCGGGAUGAUAAUGACAGUACCGGGAGAAUAAGCUCCGGCUAACUCCGUG
Molecule: ribosomal RNA, 432 nt
Filed under: uncultured bacterium
Lineage: Bacteria
Description: partial 16S ribosomal RNA
Rfam family: Bacterial small subunit ribosomal RNA
Source: RNAcentral